This 1434-nucleotide ribosomal RNA is filed under the name uncultured organism. RNAcentral's name for it is "SSU rRNA". It matches the Rfam family "Bacterial small subunit ribosomal RNA". The record is from RNAcentral.
CGGCGUGCUUAACACAUGCAAGUCGAGCGAUGAAGUUUCCUUCGGGAAACGGAUUAGCGGCGGACGGGUGAGUAACACGUGGGUAACCUGCCUCAUAGAGUGGAAUAGCCUUCCGAAAGGAAGAUUAAUACCGCAUAAUGUUGAAAGAUGGCAUCAUCAUUCAACCAAAGGAGCAAUCCGCUAUGAGAUGGACCCGCGGCGCAUUAGCUAGUUGGUGGGGUAACGGCCUACCAAGGCGACGAUGCGUAGCCGACCUGAGAGGGUGAUCGGCCACAUUGGGACUGAGACACGGCCCAGACUCCUACGGGAGGCAGCAGUGGGGAAUAUUGCACAAUGGGGGAAACCCUGAUGCAGCAACGCCGCGUGAGUGAUGAAGGUUUUCGGAUCGUAAAGCUCUGUCUUUGGGGAAGAUAAUGACGGUACCCAAGGAGGAAGCCACGGCUAACUACGUGCCAGCAGCCGCGGUAAUACGUAGGUGGCGAGCGUUAUCCGGAUUUACUGGGCGUAAAGGGAGCGUAGGCGGAUGAUUAAGUGGGAUGUGAAAUACCCGGGCUCAACUUGGGUGCUGCAUUCCAAACUGGUUAUCUAGAGUGCAGGAGAGGAGAGUGGAAUUCCUAGUGUAGCGGUGAAAUGCGUAGAGAUUAGGAAGAACACCAGUGGCGAAGGCGACUCUCUGGACUGUAACUGACGCUGAGGCUCGAAAGCGUGGGGAGCAAACAGGAUUAGAUACCCUGGUAGUCCACGCCGUAAACGAUGAACACUAGGUGUGGGGGUUUCAACACCUCCGUGCCGCCGCUAACGCAUUAAGUAUUCCGCCUGGGGAGUACGGUCGCAAGAUUAAAACUCAAAGGAAUUGACGGGGACCCGCACAAGUAGCGGAGCAUGUGGUUUAAUUCGAAGCAACGCGAAGAACCUUACCUACACUUGACAUCCCUUGCAUUACUCUUAAUCGAGGAAAUCCCUUCGGGGACAAGGUGACAGGUGGUGCAUGGUUGUCGUCAGCUCGUGUCGUGAGAUGUUGGGUUAAGUCCCGCAACGAGCGCAACCCUUGUCGUUAGUUACUACCAUUAAGUUGAGGACUCUAGCGAGACUGCCUGGGUUAACCAGGAGGAAGGUGGGGAUGACGUCAAAUCAUCAUGCCCCUUAUGUGUAGGGCUACACACGUGCUACAAUGGCUGGUACAGAGAGGUGCAAUACCGCGAGGUGGAGCCAAACUUAAAAACCAGUCUCAGUUCGGAUUGUAGGCUGAAACUCGCCUACAUGAAGCUGGAGUUACUAGUAAUCGCGAAUCAGAAUGUCGCGGUGAAUACGUUCCCGGGUCUUGUACACACCGCCCGUCACACCAUGAGAGUUGGAAAUACCCGAAGUCCGUGAGCUAACCGCAAGGAGGCAGCGGCCGAAGGUAGGGUCAGCGAUUGGGGUGAAGUCAUAACA